Molecule: long non-coding RNA, 1197 nt
Filed under: Lonchura striata (white-rumped munia)
Lineage: Eukaryota; Metazoa; Chordata; Aves; Passeriformes; Estrildidae
Description: domestica (Bengalese finch) lncRNA (ENSLSDG00000004967.1)
Source: RNAcentral
UCAUCCUUGUGGAGAGGGAGCAUAUCGCUGUGGGCUGCUGUACAAGCUCUGUGUCUGCACAUCCCUUCCCCAUUCUGGAUCCAUGCAGGUGCCAACACAGGUUUCCAGCUUUGCAGUUUCGGCCAAGGCAUCAGCGCGAGUCGAGAAACUCGCAGAGCCCUUGAUCAGGGAGAUGACCUGCUGCUCUAAGCACACCAAACCUGGUGUUGUCAUCUCUACGGUAAGGCAGCAUCACCCAGGACCCUACAUGGAUGGGACUUCUGGCAGAGGAGUGGGUACAGGUGCUCAGUCACUUGUGGCUCUCUUCAUGUCAGCCCUGGAAUGUGCUGCUCUCUAUGAGGCUGGUGUAGCUGCUUCCUGAGCUGGAAAGCAGGACUUGUGCUCCAUUCAGAGCAUGAACUGACUCCGAGCACAUAUCCCCAGAGAGUGGCAGAUCUGUGCCUAACCUGCACUUGUGGGAGCAGGGAGAGGUGGACAAGUGCCUAACUGGGAUCUCCAGUGCUGGGGGUGGAUUGGACAAAAGGCUGUGAGUAAUAGGAGGCUGGAGGGCAGGCUGUGGGACUGGCCAGGCAGUGGUUUCUCCUUCUACAGUUUUCUUGGUGCCAAACAACUGAGGACAUGACCCAGUCCCAUCUAUGUGUGGUCAGUGGCUGUGAACUUGGUAACACUGAAUUGGUUGCAGGUUGAGCACCCUUGAAUGCCAGGAGCAUCUCUAAGGACCUUCCUCCCCAUUCUUCCACAGGUUUCCAGGUCAUCUCAGAAGGUAGUUGCAAGCCCUCGGACCAUUGAACUGUCGAAGCCCAGACAAGUCCACGCUAAGUUCAUGCCUGCACGGGAUCCUGAGUGGCCUGUGACAGCGGCUGCCAAGCGUGCAAUGGCUACAGAAAGGAUUGUGGCCCUGGCCCAGCCUACUGCAAGACCUCGAAUGGGCUUGACUGCACUCAACCCAGAUGCAUUCAAAGUGAAGGAGGCUGCUCUGAAGGCAGUUUGUUCUCCACGGCUCGAACAACUAGCUCGGCCAAUUCAGCGCUAAGCUCUGUCAGAAAUGCUCCUGCCAUCUGCCCACAUCACCCCUUGGAACAUCCCUCUCUCUGGGCUCUGCUGUGGCUGGAAGAUCUCUUUGAACACAGCACAGAGGCAGCACUCAGCAGGAACGCUUUCUGGGAGUUAAAAUAAAAUCAUUCCUUUAGAAAGUCA